GAUUCCUUCCCUGGCAGAAAUCAAACUUGCCAUGAGCUGUGAGUAGUCCUGUUUGGAUUCCUUCCGUGGCAGAAAUCAAACUUGCCAUGCAUUUGUUCCUUCUAUCCUCUCUCUUUGAAUUUCAAAGAAGAACUGGAAAAACAGUAAUUAUUCAAGAUUUUAAACUGUAAUGCAGUGAAAUACUCCUUUCCUCAGGAUAGCAGGGUCUUUCCUGGAGGCAGGAAUGUGCGACAUCCUUUGGAAAAAGUUCUCUUAUUCACGGUGUUUCGCAAACCUGGCAAUGUGUUCAAGUCAGCCGGGGGCUUCAGGAGGGAGAAUUUCCCAAGAAGAAGGUCACUUCUGGACUCGCUUUCUGGGACAUCAACGGACUCACAGAGAAUCCGAAAAUCAGAGAAUCCGUGGCAGGGGAAGGCAGAGGUUGCCUGUUCCUUUACUUAGAAGGAGCUGAAGGCCUUUGUGAGGACAGGUCCAUCCAGGAAGCUCCUUUGGGGAAACCAAGCAGAAAGGAGGCCUCAGGAAAUUCCCUGAGACACAGACUGUAAGUAUCCACCCCCCACCCCAGGCUCCUUAUUUUGGUCCUCUCCCUGCUUACAUACCAAUUACAAUGCCUAGGUCAGGACCAAAACACAGGAGAAGGUAACAGCAGUAAUGGACAUAGGAGUGAGGCCACCUGGCCAAGUGUGAUCUUGCUUCCAGGACCGUCGAAUGCACACACAGCCAAACGGAUGUGAGACCACACAGCUUAUCCUGCCGCCUGCCUUCUGCAGCUGUGUUUCUCAGCUUUCCUCCCACCCCAGGAUUCAGCCUGCCUGGCCCAGCGCUGCCCCUUCUGCUGUCCUGAAGGUCUUACCUCCUGCGGCUCCUUCUGUCCCAUCCUGGUGGCUGCCCACACCCAUCUUUCGAGUGCCCACCUGUGCAAAUCCCAGCACUGCCUCCCUCCUUCUGUAUGUACUGCUCAACCCUGCACCCCACCCUGCUCCCCACACCAUGGUGGGAAGAAGCCCCCUCUUUUCCUCCCUGUGUCCUGCACCUGGAGCAGAGCCCACGUGACGGAAACCCAGGAGCUUUCCUUGAGGGAAUAAAAGCGAAUAGGACUGGGCGCAGUGGCUCAUGCCUGUAAUCCCAGCACUUUGGGAGGCCGAGGCGGGCGGAUCAUCUGAGGUCAGGAGUUUGAGACCACCCUGGCCAACAUGAUGAGAUCCCGUCUGUACUAAAAAUACAAAAAUUAGCCAGGCGUGGUGGUGGGUGCCUGUAAUCUCAGCUAUUUGGGAGGCUGAGGCAGGAGAAUCGCUUGAGCCCGGGAGGUGGAGGUUGCAGUGAGCCGAGAUUGCGC
This 1333-nucleotide long non-coding RNA is filed under the name Homo sapiens (human). Its description in RNAcentral is "HSALNT0338605". Lineage: Eukaryota; Metazoa; Chordata; Mammalia; Primates; Hominidae. The record is from RNAcentral.